GGAAAUUCCAUGCCCUUCCCACAUACCUUGCCCUGUGCAUCCACGUACUGAGAGGAUGACUCACCCCAACUCAGCAGCGACAGAAGCUCCUAUGCUCAGGACCUUCCCAGACUUCCCCCAAGUGUCUCUUCAUCUGGUUGUUCAUCUGUAUCCUUUAUCACAUCCUGUCAUAAACUGGUCAAGCCCAACCCUUUGAGGUGGGUCCUGUUAUCUCCAAAUUAUAGAUGAGAAGACUGAGGGUCAGAAAGGAGCUGUUGCUUGGAACAGGUUAACACAGAACUCAACCCCAGGACCAAACCCAGAGGGGACUUAGGAAAAGGAAGAUUAGCCCUGAGCUAACAUCCACUGCCAAUCCUCCUCUUUUUGCUGAGGAAGACUGGCCCUGAGCUAACACCCAUGCCCAUCUUCCUCUACUUUAUAUGUGGGACACCUGCCACAGCAUGGCCUGACAAGUCCACACCUGAGAUCACAGCCGGGGAACCCCAGGCCACCGAAGUAGAGCCCUCGAACUUCAAUACGACACUGGAUCUGCCCCAAAGUUGCAUUUCUUUUGUUACUAUUAUUGUUACAAAUGGCUUCACAUGUUUACUGAUCAUUUACACUUAGUUUUAAAUCACAUGUCUGUUAUGCUCCGUGCCUAUUCCUACUGGGGUGGUGUCUUUUUCCUAUUGAUUUGUAAUGAUAUCAACACUUUUUCAGAUAUAUAUUGAAUUGUCCUAAUUUAUCCUUUGCCUAUUAAUUUUGUUUAUGAUUUUUUUGAUGCACAAAAUCUUUUUGCUGUCAUAUUUUUCAAUCUUUCCCUUAUGGUUUCUACUUUUGAUAUUAAACUUAGAAUGGCUUUCCCCACAUGGACAUUAUAUGAGUAUUUUCCUCUAUUAUCUUUUUGGUAUCAUUUAUUAUAUUUAAUUCUUUAUCCCGUUUGAAAUUUAUGUUAGUAUGUGGUUUGGGGAAAGAUCAAAUUCUUAAUUUUCUAAGCCAUAUUUAUUCAUUUCCUACCCAUUUUGAAAUGCCACAUUUGUCAUAUUCUGAAUAUUUAAAGUACACCUUGGGGGGCCGGGCAGGUGGCGCAGCGGUUAAGUGCACACGUUGCGCUUUGGCGGCCCAGGGUUUGCCAGUUCAGAUCCCAGGUGCGGACAUGGCACCGCUUGGCAAGCCAUGCUGUG
Molecule: long non-coding RNA, 1163 nt
Filed under: Equus asinus (donkey)
Lineage: Eukaryota; Metazoa; Chordata; Mammalia; Perissodactyla; Equidae
Description: lncRNA (ENSEASG00005036441.1)
Source: RNAcentral